Molecule: long non-coding RNA, 2337 nt
Organism: Equus asinus (donkey)
Lineage: Eukaryota; Metazoa; Chordata; Mammalia; Perissodactyla; Equidae
Source: Ensembl
AUGAAAGCACGGCAGGCCAGACCAGUGCUUCUCAAAUUCCUGCUUUUCAAAACACAGAUUCCUAGGCUCUGCUCCCAGACAUUCUGACUCAGUGUUGGAAUUUCCCAAAAUUCCCAUCUCUGACUAGCUCUCAGGUGAUGCUGAUGCUGCAGGUCUAUGGAACAUGUUUCAAGUAGCACCGGCCUUGGUCAUUAAUUUUGAGGAAAAUCAGGUGUUAAUGGGCCUGCAUUUCAGAAACGAAACUCACGAGAACAGGACCUGUCUUGUAGAGGGAGAUAAGGCAAUGCUAGGAUGACCAACUGUCCAGUUUGACCCCAGACCAUCUUGGUUUAGCAUGGAAAGGCUUGUGUCCCAGGAAACCACUCAGUCCCAGGCAAACUGGAAAGUUGGUCGCCCUACUGGGCUUAGUAGGCUGGCUUAUCAUGGCAGCUUUAUUGUGCUUUGAAGUGAUUUGGUGUUUUACUUAAAUUUUAAACCCAAGAAAAGCCUCUGAGCAUAUUGUGAAAUGGCAUGUAACCACAUGUAACUGAUGACUGCCAGUUAGAACCUUCAGCUUUUCUAAAUCUCUCUUCUCACAAGUUGUGGUGGGUCAGGGUUCCUAAACUUGUCUGCACAUUGGAAUCACCUGGGGAGCUUAAAAAAAAAGAGGAAGAAAGUGAUCUCUGUGUUCUACAUCACCCAAUUGUGAGUUAAUUGGUUUAAGGUGUGACCUGGGUGCUCCUAGUUUUAAAAGGUCCCCAGACGAUUCAAAUCUACAGACAAAUCCCACCAUCAGUAUCCCUGUGGUAGAUAGUAUUCAAAGAUGGCAGCCAUGACUACCUCUCUCUUUCUGGACACAUGCCAUUCAUCAGAGUGAAUUUCACAGCCUCCAUGUGAGAGGUCUGAUUAUCCUGAGUCCACGCUGCUGUGAGGAGAGCAGUCGCUGAGUGAAGGAGCAGCUGGGCACAGACGUGUUCUUGGACCUUCUAGACCAGCCCAGCUAACAGCUGAAUUUGCCCAAGUGGGAGGCCCCAGCUGAAGCCACUAGGAUUGGAACUGUGCAGGCAAACCACAAGGGAAGCCAGUCAUAAGAAAUCUGCUAAAUAAGGAUUGAUCAGAACAAGAAGAGAUUAUAUAGUGGUCCACAACAGGAUCUGCCCCGGAAGCAGAGGCCUGGGAUUCCUAGGGACAGAGCAACAUUGUUCCUGGAUGGUAUAUGGAGAGUCUCGGUGAAAUGUCGAUGUUUUGGACUUCUCUUUUUGCCAGUAUUUGUCGAAGUGUGGCCCCAACCAACUGCAUUAGAAUCACCAUGGAGCUUGAUAAAAUGCAGAUUUCUGGUCUCACCCAAACCUGUUGAAUUGGAAUUGAUGAAAUGAGUCUACAUUUUCAACAGACUCUCCUGGUUUAGUCUGUAUAGUAUGAGACUUACUCCUCUAAGCUAAUCAAACCCUCUGUUCACACUGUCUUUAUUCUAACAGGAUAUAAAUGAUUAGAUUCUGCUUAAUUAUUAAACAUUUUAGUUUUGACUACCUAUCAACUCUCAAUUUAAGGUAUUUUUAGAUUCAUUUAAAUUAUAAAAUUCUGAUUUGAAAGUCAUAAUGUAGCAAGUUGAGAAAGAAUGAAAAUAUAUAAAGGGUUUAGUAAAAUCAUCUGUAAUUUCAUUACCAUUUAUUGUCUUUCUCUUUUUUGUGUGAGGGUCUACACCCCACUCCUCCCACACAGGGGUCUACGCAUGUUGUAAAUAGCACUUGAUUCCUGCUUUAUUUACUCUAAUUUAAUUUGAGAGCCUCUCAUAUUGUUAGUCUUUCACUUACAUGAUAUUAAUAGCUAUUCUCAAGAUUCCCAUUCAUGUAUUUACAGAUAGAAUUUUAUUCCCACAGAUCGUUAAUCAUAUAUAUUGUGUCUAGUUUUUACGAGUGUGGAAGAAUGAGGUAUUGUGUUUUACUUUAAAAUUAGACAAUCAUUUAUUUUACAAACAAAAGCUUUUUCUAAGAGGGAGAUUUUUAGAUCCAUUCUUAAUAAGAGAAUAUUAUAACAAAGUCACAGAGGUCAUGUUUGAUGUAAAAUUGUCACAAGAUUGCUAAUACAUUUAACCUCCUGUUAUUGAAUUUGUUUACAAAUUUAAGUGAAAAAACUAAUUUUUACAUGAAAUUAACAAAUAUAUUUUCCAUAACAAAUGUACUUAGCCUCAAGGUCAAUUGUCCUUGCUUGAUAACUGUCAAAUAAAUUUCUGAAUGUUACGUGAAAGAUUUUGCCCCCUUAAGAAGAUGGACUUGGGCAGAAACUCAACUUUGAGCUUAUAAAAUAUAGAGGAAACAUGGACUUAACAGAAAAUUUAUAGUCACAUAAAAUUUUAUA